Molecule: ribosomal RNA, 288 nt
Filed under: uncultured Anaerolineaceae bacterium
Lineage: Bacteria; Bacillati; Chloroflexota; Anaerolineae; Anaerolineales; Anaerolineaceae
Description: partial 16S ribosomal RNA
Rfam family: Bacterial small subunit ribosomal RNA
Source: RNAcentral
UAACCGAGCGCAACCCUCGCUGUGUGUUAUAUGUGUCACACAGGGACUGGCCUGGGUAUUUAAAGCCGGAGGAAGGUGGGGACGACGGUCAAGUCAGCAUGACCUUUAUAUCCAGGGCUACACACACGCUACAAAUGGUCAGUACAAUGGGUUGCCAAGCCGCGAGGCGGAGCCAAUCCUAAAAAGCUGGCCUCAGUUCAGAUUGCAGUCUGAAACUCGACUGCAUGAAGUCGGAGUUGCUAGUAAACGCAGGUCAGCUAUACUGCGUUGAAUACGUUCCCGGGGCUU